GAUGAAGAACGCAGUGAAAUGCGAUAAGUAAUGUGAAUUGCAGAAUUCAGUGAAUCAUCGAAUCUUUGAACGCACAUUGCGCCCCUUGGCAUUCCUUGGGGCAUGCCUGUUCGAGCGUCACUGCAAACCCACUCAUAAAUAUUAUGGUAUUGAUGGAAGUGAACGGAACCAAUCUAUGUGUUCAGGUCAUCCCAUCGAAAUGUAUAAGCAGGACAAUCAACCUGUGCAAUGGACUUAGUAACUGUCUUGAAGACAUAAACCAGUUUGUUGCUUGGUUUUGACUUAGCUUCCAUGGACCUCCAUCCAAGAUAAUAAACUCUGGGUUGACCUCGGAUCAGGUAGGGAUACCCGCUGAACUUAAGCAUAUCAAUAAGCGGAGGA
This 381-nucleotide unclassified non-coding RNA is filed under the name soil metagenome. RNAcentral describes it as "partial contains 5.8S ribosomal RNA, internal transcribed spacer 2, and large subunit ribosomal RNA". The stretch from base 1 to 120 matches the Rfam family "5.8S ribosomal RNA", at positions 35 to 154 of the family's 154-position model. The record is from RNAcentral.